This 1338-nucleotide ribosomal RNA is filed under the name uncultured bacterium. RNAcentral describes it as "bacterial SSU rRNA". It matches the Rfam family "Bacterial small subunit ribosomal RNA", at positions 38 to 1381 of the family's 1533-position model. The record is from RNAcentral.
GGCGGCGUGCUUAACACAUGCUUUUUCGAACGGAAAGGCCCUGCUUUUGUGGGGUGCUCGAGUGGCGAACGGGUGAGUAACACGUGAGUAACCUGCCCUUGACUUUGGGAUAACUUCAGGAAACUGGGGCUAAUACCGGAUAGGAGCUCCUGCUGCAUGGUGGGGGUUGGAAAGUUUCGGCGGUUGGGGAUGGACUCGCGGCUUAUCAGCUUGUUGGUGGGGUAGUGGCUUACCAAGGCUUUGACGGGUAGCCGGCCUGAGAGGGUGACCGGCCACAUUGGGACUGAGAUACGGCCCAGACUCCUACGGGAGGCAGCAGUGGGGAAUAUUGCACAAUGGGCGGAAGCCUGAUGCAGCAACGCCGCGUGCGGGAUGACGGCCUUCGGGUUGUAAACCGCUUUCGCCUGUGACGAAGCGUGAGUGACGGUAAUGGGUAAAGAAGCACCGGCUAACUACGUGCCAGCAGCCGCGGUGAUACGUAGGGUGCGAGCGUUGUCCGGAUUUAUUGGGCGUAAAGGGCUCGUAGGUGGUUGAUCGCGUCGGAAGUGUAAUCUUGGGGCUUAACCCUGAGCGUGCUUUCGAUACGGGUUGACUUGAGGAAGGUAGGGGAGAAUGGAAUUCCUGGUGGAGCGGUGGAAUGCGCAGAUAUCAGGAGGAACACCAGUGGCGAAGGCGGUUCUCUGGGCCUUUCCUGACGCUGAGGAGCGAAAGCGUGGGGAGCGAACAGGCUUAGAUACCCUGGUAGUCCACGCUGUAAACGGUGGGUACUAGGUGUGGGGUCCAUUCCACGGGUUCCGUGCCGUAGCUAACGCUUUAAGUACCCCGCCUGGGGAGUACGGCCGCAAGGCUAAAACUCAAAGGAAUUGACGGGGCCCCGCACAGGCGGCGGAGCAUGCGGAUUAAUUCGAUGCAACGCGUAGAACCUUACCUGGGUUUGACAUGGAUCGGGAGUGCUCAGAGAUGGGUGUGCCUCUUUUGGGGUCGGUUCACAGGUGGUGCAUGCCUGUCGUCAGCUCGUGUCGUGAGAUGUUGGGUUAAGUCCCGCAACGAGCGCAACCCUUGUUCACUGUUGCCAGCACGUUAUGGUGGGGACUCAGUGGAGACCGCCGGGGUCAACUCGGAGGAAGGUGGGGAUGACGUCAAGUCCUCAUGCCCCUUAUGUCCAGGGCUUCACGCAUGCUACAAUGGCUGGUACAGAGAGUGGCGAGCCUGUGAGGGUGAGCGAAUCUCGGAAAGCCGGUCUCAGUUCGGAUUGGGGUCUGCAACUCGACCUCGUGAAGUCGGAGCCGCUAGUAAUCGCAGAUCAGCAACGCUGCGGUGAAUAAAUUGCCCGGGGCU